GACGAGGGGUCCAAGCGUUGUUCGGAAUCAUUGGGCGUAAAGCGGGUGUAGGUGGCUCUAUAAGUCAGAAGUGAAAGCCCCGAGCUUAACUUGGGAAGUGCUUUUGAUACUGUAGAGCUUGAAUGUGGGAGAGGAUCGUGGAAUUCCAGGUGUAGUGGUGAAAUACGUAGAUAUCUGGAGGAACACCGGUGGCGAAGGCGGCGAUCUGGCCCAACAUUGACACUGAGACCCGAAAGCGUGGGGAUCGAAACAGG
Molecule: ribosomal RNA, 254 nt
Filed under: uncultured bacterium
Lineage: Bacteria
Description: partial 16S ribosomal RNA
Rfam family: Bacterial small subunit ribosomal RNA
Source: RNAcentral